CAAUGGGCGCAAGCCUGAUCCAGCAAUGCCGCGUGCAGGAUGAAGGCCUUCGGGUUGUAAACUGCUUUUGUACGGAACGAAAAGCCCUGGGUUAAUACCCUGGGGUCAUGACGGUACCGUAAGAAUAAGCACCGGCUAACUACGUGCCAGCAGCCGCGGUAAUACGUAGGGUGCAAGCGUUAAUCGGAAUUACUGGGCGUAAAGCGUGCGCAGGCGGUUUUGUAAGACAGAGGUGAAAUCCCCGGGCUCAACCUGGGAACUGCCUUUGUGACUGCAAGGCUAGAGUACGGCAGAGGGGGAUGGAAUUCCGCGUGUAGCAGUGAAAUGCGUAGAUAUGCGGAGGAACACCGAUGGCGAAGGCAAUCCCCUGGGCCUGUACUGACGCUCAUGCACGAAAGCGUGGGGAGCAAACAGGAUUAGAUACCCUGGUAGUCCACGCCCUAAACGAUGUCAACUGGUUGUUGGGUCUUAACUGACUCAGUAACGAAGCUAACGCGUGAAGUUGACCGCCUGGGGAGUAC
This 521-nucleotide ribosomal RNA is filed under the name uncultured bacterium. RNAcentral describes it as "bacterial SSU rRNA". It matches the Rfam family "Bacterial small subunit ribosomal RNA", at positions 369 to 883 of the family's 1533-position model. The record is from RNAcentral.